Molecule: non-coding RNA, 987 nt
Organism: Peromyscus maniculatus bairdii (prairie deer mouse)
Lineage: Eukaryota; Metazoa; Chordata; Mammalia; Rodentia; Cricetidae
Source: RefSeq, a predicted model, not a curated record
GGUUACUUUGUACCUGAAGUGUUCCAGGUUUCCCCACCACUGAUUCCAGCUUAUUACAAUUUGAAGUCUUACAAUCAUGCUUACUACUCUUUGUAGUUACUCUUCUACUGCUAUGUACUUUUUUUCCUUGAGUCUCUCGUUGUACCCCAGACUGACCUUGAACUCAAAGAGAUCUACCCACCUGCCCAUGACUCCUGAGUGCUGGGAUUAAAGGCAAUGCCAUUUAAUCCUAGUCCUAGAAUAUGUUAUAUUUUUAAUGUUUCUUCUAAAUUUCUGUGGUUUUAUAGUCAUGGAUAAAAAGUGCAGAGGUCACCAGUACCACAAAUUCAAGCAGACAGGGGAUUUCAUAAAGUGUUUGUGUUUAGUCUCCUGUUUUCUAUGAUCAGUUGGAAAUAGAUAUUAAAUCACAAAUGGCCAACAAAUCAUGCUUCAUGAGCAAUUAUUUCUGCAUGUAUUUGUUCUGAAUUGAUUCUCAAUUCUUAGAAUCUUUGGACUGCACAGCUCCAGUUUUCCGGAAAGACUAUUAAGAGCCGAUGGCAGUACAUCUUUAAGUUUUCCAUCUAUUUAUUUCUUUCAUAUGCAUCCCUGUGGAUGGAACCCACAGCCUUGCACAUGCUAGUACACUAUACAUGGAGUUUGGUGCAUGAGUCCUUCACGCAACACAAGACAGUAAGCGUUAACUGUUGACAGGAAACAUGACUUUGGGAGGAGGUAAACCUCAUAGCGUUUCCUUUUUAAAAAACAUUUUUAUUUACUUUUAUUGUAGGAAUGCUUUGCUUGCAUGUCUCCUACUUGUGUGCCUUGUCCUCAUGGAGGUUAAAUGAGGGCAUCGGACCUCCCGGAACUGGAGUUAGAGGAGGCUAUGAGCUACAAUCUAGGUACUGGGAAUUGAACCCAGAUCUGCAAGAGCAGCCACUGAGCCAUCUCCCUAGCCCCCUCCAUCUUGUAGUUGAGCAAACACAAAGACUAACAUGCAUCUUGGAAAAA